GGCAGAGUGGCGUAGUGGUUAGUGACCCUGACUGCUGUGCCGAAGGUCCUGGGUUCGAUUCCCAGCUGGCG
RNAcentral lists this transfer RNA (71 nucleotides) under Plutella xylostella (diamondback moth). RNAcentral's name for it is "tRNA-Ser". The record is from RNAcentral. Lineage: Eukaryota; Metazoa; Arthropoda; Insecta; Lepidoptera; Plutellidae.